AUACGUAGGGAGCGAGCGUUGUCCGGAUUUAUUGGGCGUAAAGCGAGCGCAGGCGGUUUCUUAAGUCUGAUGUGAAAGCCCCCGGCUCAACCGGGGAGGGGCAUUGGAAACUGGGAGACUUGAGUGCAGAAGAGGAGAGUGGAAUUCCAUGGGUAGCGGUGAAAUGCGUAGAUAUAUGGAGGAACACCAGUGGCGAAGGCGACUCUCUGGUCUGUAACUGACGCUGAGGCUCGAAAGCGUGGGGAGCAAACAGGAUUAGAUACCCUGGUAGUCCACGCCGUAAACGAUGAGUGCUAAGUGUUGGAGGGUUUCCGCCCUUCAGUGCUGCAGCUAACGCAUUAAGCACUCCGCCUGGGGAGUACGACCGCAAGGUUGAAACUCAAAUGAAUUGACGGGG
Molecule: ribosomal RNA, 397 nt
Filed under: uncultured bacterium
Lineage: Bacteria
Description: partial 16S ribosomal RNA
Rfam family: Bacterial small subunit ribosomal RNA
Source: RNAcentral